This 2515-nucleotide ribosomal RNA is filed under the name Lacticaseibacillus paracasei ATCC 334. RNAcentral's name for it is "bacterial LSU rRNA". It matches the Rfam family "Bacterial large subunit ribosomal RNA", at positions 401 to 2925 of the family's 2925-position model. The record is from RNAcentral. Lineage: Bacteria; Bacillati; Bacillota; Bacilli; Lactobacillales; Lactobacillaceae.
CAGGAUCCUGAGUACGGCGGAACACGUGAAAUUCCGUCGGAAUCCGGGAGGACCAUCUCCCAAGGCUAAAUACUCCCUAGUGACCGAUAGUGAACCAGUACCGUGAGGGAAAGGUGAAAAGCACCCCGGAAGGGGAGUGAAACAGUUCCUGAAACCGUGUGCCUACAAUUAGUCAAAGCCCGUUAAUGGGUAAUGGCGUGCCUUUUGUAGAAUGAACCGGCGAGUUACGUUUGCUUGCGAGGUUAAGAUGAAAAGUCGGAGCCGUAGCGAAAGCGAGUCUGAACAGGGCGAAUGAGUAAGCAGAUGUAGACCCGAAACCAAGUGACCUACCCAUGACCAGGUUGAAGGUGUGGUGAAACACACUGGAGGACCGAACCCAUGUAUGUUGAAAAAUGCUGGGAUGAGUUGUGGGUAGCGGUGAAAUUCCAAACGAACUUGGAGAUAGCUGGUUCUCUCCGAAAUAGCUUUAGGGUUAGCCUCGGAGGAUGGAUCAUGGAGGUAGAGCACUGUUUGAACUAGGGGCCCAUCAAGGGUUACUGAAUUCAGAUAAACUCCGAAUACCAUCGAUCUUACUCCGGGAGUCAGACAGUGAGCGAUAAGGUCCAUUGUCGAAAGGGGAACAGCCCAGAUCACCAGUUAAGGUCCCUAAAUUUAUGCUAAGUGGAAAAGGAUGUGGCGUUGCACAGACAACUAGGAUGUUGGCUCAGAAGCAGCCACCAUUUAAAGAGUGCGUAAUAGCUCACUAGUCGAGUGGCACUGCGCCGAAAAUAUACCGGGGCUAAGCAUAAUACCGAAACUGUGGGUGCACCCGUAAGGGUGCGCGGUAGGAGAGCGUUCUAAGGGCGUUGAAGGUCGAUCGUGAGGACGGCUGGAGCGCUUAGAAGUGAGAAUGCCGGCAUGAGUAGCGAAAGAUCAGUGAGAAUCUGAUCCACCGUAUGACUAAGGCUUCCUGGGGAAGGCUCGUCCUCCCAGGGUUAGUCGGGAUCUAAGGCGAGGCCGAGAGGCGUAGUCGAUGACAAGCAGGUUGAGAUUCCUGCACUAGUUUAUUUUGUUUAAGCGAUGGAGGGACGCAGGAGGCUAAGGAAAGCGCACGGCUGGAAAUGUGCGCCCAAGCAGCAAGUCUGACAGCGAGUGAAAUGCUUGCAGUCUUAAGGACAAGCUGUGAUGGGGAGCGAAAUUAUAGUAGCGAAGUUCCUGAUGUCACACUGCCAAGAAAAGCUUCUAGUGAGAAAUAAACUACCCGUACCGCAAACCGACACAGGUAGUCGAGGAGAGUAUCCUCAGGUGAGCGAGCGAACUCUCGUUAAGGAACUCGGCAAAAUGACCCCGUAACUUCGGAAGAAGGGGUGCUGACCGCAAGGUCAGCCGCAGUGAAUAGGCCCAAACAACUGUUUAUCAAAAACACAGGUCUCUGCUAAAUCGUAAGAUGAUGUAUAGGGGCUGACGCCUGCCCGGUGCUGGAAGGUUAAGAGGAUGAGUUAGCGCAAGCGAAGCCCAGAAUUGAAGCCCCAGUAAACGGCGGCCGUAACUAUAACGGUCCUAAGGUAGCGAAAUUCCUUGUCGGGUAAGUUCCGACCCGCACGAAAGGCGUAAUGAUUUGGGCACUGUCUCAACGAGAGACUCGGUGAAAUUAUAGUACCCGUGAAGAUGCGGGUUACCCGCGACAGGACGGAAAGACCCCAUGGAGCUUUACUGUAGCUUGAUAUUGAGUGUUUGUACCGCUUGUACAGGAUAGGUAGGAGCCGUAGAGAUCGGAACGCUAGUUUCGAUGGAGGCGUUGGUGGGAUACUACCCUAGCUGUAUGAACACUCUAACCCGCGCCACUAAUCGUGGCGGGAGACAGUGUCAGGUAGGCAGUUUGACUGGGGCGGUCGCCUCCUAAAAUGUAACGGAGGCGCCCAAAGGUUCCCUCAGAAUGGUUGGAAAUCAUUCGCAGAGUGUAAAGGUAUAAGGGAGCUUGACUGCGAGACUGACAAGUCGAGCAGGGACGAAAGUCGGGCUUAGUGAUCCGGUGGUUCCGUAUGGAAGGGCCAUCGCUCAACGGAUAAAAGCUACCCUGGGGAUAACAGGCUUAUCUCCCCCAAGAGUCCACAUCGACGGGGAGGUUUGGCACCUCGAUGUCGGCUCAUCGCAUCCUGGGGCUGUAGUCGGUCCCAAGGGUUGGGCUGUUCGCCCAUUAAAGCGGUACGCGAGCUGGGUUCAGAACGUCGUGAGACAGUUCGGUCCCUAUCCGUCGCGGGCGCAGGAAAUUUGAGAGGAGCUGUCCUUAGUACGAGAGGACCGGGAUGGACGUUCCGCUGGUGUACCAGUUGUGCCGCCAGGCGCAUCGCUGGGUAGCUAUGAACGGCAGGGAUAAACGCUGAAAGCAUCUAAGUGUGAAGCCCCCCUCGAGAUGAGAUUUCCCAUUCCUAUAUGGAAGUAAGACCCCUGAGAGAUGAUCAGGUAGAUAGGCUGGAAGUGGAAGUGCAGCGAUGCAUGGAGCGGACCAGUACUAAUCGGUCGAGGACUUAACCAA